UAUGAUAAAUCAUAUUCAUAUAA
This 23-nucleotide small nuclear RNA is filed under the name Arabidopsis thaliana (thale cress). RNAcentral describes it as "snRNA_18204". The record is from RNAcentral. Lineage: Eukaryota; Viridiplantae; Streptophyta; Magnoliopsida; Brassicales; Brassicaceae.